This 196-nucleotide ribosomal RNA is filed under the name uncultured eukaryote. Its description in RNAcentral is "partial small subunit ribosomal RNA". The record is from RNAcentral.
GCUGCAGCGUGCUCGUGGCGAGGAUCGCAAGGUCUGGAUCGUCGGGCUGGUCGAUGACCACAGCCGCUUCAUCAUCGGCCUGCGGGUCCUGCCCAGCCCGAGCACACAGCCGAUCCUCACCUGGCUGGACGACUGCUUCGAGCUGUGUGGGAUGCCGCACGAGGUCAUGAGUGACAACGGCAGUCCCUUCGUGGUC